RNAcentral lists this transfer RNA (77 nucleotides) under Venatoribacter cucullus. Its description in RNAcentral is "Oceanospirillaceae bacterium xL5 tRNA-Ile". It matches the Rfam family "tRNA". Rfam says of the family: Transfer RNA (tRNA) molecules are approximately 80 nucleotides in length. Their secondary structure includes four short double-helical elements and three loops (D, anti-codon, and T loops). The record is from RNAcentral. Lineage: Bacteria; Pseudomonadati; Pseudomonadota; Gammaproteobacteria; Oceanospirillales; Oceanospirillaceae. RNAcentral also lists the same sequence under 1 other name.
GGGCCUUUAGCUCAGUUGGUUAGAGCACGCGACUCAUAAUCGCUAGGUCCCCGGUUCGAGCCCGGGAAGGCCCACCA